RNAcentral lists this ribosomal RNA (270 nucleotides) under uncultured bacterium. RNAcentral's name for it is "partial 16S ribosomal RNA". It matches the Rfam family "Bacterial small subunit ribosomal RNA", at positions 28 to 303 of the family's 1533-position model. The record is from RNAcentral.
GAUGAACGCUAGCGGCAGGCUUAACACAUGCAAGUCGAGGGGUAUAGUAGCAAUACUAGAGACCGGCGCACGGGUGCGUAACGCGUAUGCAAUCUACCUUUUACAGAGGGAUAGCCCAGAGAAAUUUGGAUUAAUACCUCAUAAUAUAUUUGAGUGGCAUCACUUGAUUAUUAAAGUUCCAAUGGUAAAAGAUGAGCAUGCGUCCUAUUAGCUAGAUGGUAAGGUAACGGCUUACCAUGGCUACGAUAGGUAGGGGUCCUGAGAGGGAGA